Molecule: ribosomal RNA, 677 nt
Filed under: uncultured euryarchaeote
Lineage: Archaea; Methanobacteriati; Methanobacteriota
Description: bacterial SSU rRNA
Rfam family: Archaeal small subunit ribosomal RNA
Source: RNAcentral
CCCUAUGGGGUGCAGCAGGCGCGAAACCUUUACAAUGCACGCAAGUGUGAUAAGGGAAUCCCUAGUGCUCAUGUACUGCAUGGGCUUUUGCUAAGUGUAAAUAGCUUGGCGAAUAAGUGGUGGGUAAGACUGGUGCCAGCCGCCGCGGUAACACCAGCGCCACGAGUGGUAACCACGUUUAUUGGGCCUAAAGCGUCCGUAGCCGGUUUGAUAAAUCUUUUGUGAAAUUGUUUGGCUUAACCAAACAGCGUGCAAGAGACACUGUCAAACUCGAGACCGGGAGGAGUCAGAAGUAUUCCAGAGGGAGCGGUAAAAUGUUAUAAUCUCUGGAGGACUACCUGUGGCGAAGGCGUCUGACCAGAACGGAUCUGACGGUGAGGGACGAAAGCCAGGGGAGCGAACCGGAUUAGAUACCCGAGUAGUCCUGGCCGUAAACGCUGUGAGCUAGGUGUUGCACCAGCUACAUGUUGGUGCAGUGUCGAAAAGAAGUUGUUAAGCUCACCGCCUGGGAAGUACGGUCGCAAGACUGAAACUUUAAGGAAUUGGCGGGGGAGCACCACAAGGGGUGCGGCGUGCGGUUUAAUCUAACUCAACGCAGAGAACCUUACUAGAAGCGACGGCAGGAUGAAGAUCAGCUUGAAGAGCUUAUCUGACAAGCCGAGAGGUGGUGCAUGGCC